RNAcentral lists this long non-coding RNA (1798 nucleotides) under Homo sapiens (human). Its description in RNAcentral is "HSALNT0388794". Lineage: Eukaryota; Metazoa; Chordata; Mammalia; Primates; Hominidae. The record is from RNAcentral.
UGACCCGAGAUUGCGCUACUGCACUCCAGCCUGGGCGACAGAGCGAGGUUCCGUCUCGAAAAAAAAAACAACGAAAAGGGGACUCACUUCGGAGAAGCUGCCCUCUCUGCAAACUUAUUUGAAGAUGUGGUCUUGCUAUGUUGCCCGGGCUGAGUGCAGUGACUAUUCACAGGCCGGAUCUAGUGCACUGCAGUCUUGAACUCCUGGCUUACAGUCCUGCUGGUUCUGAGAGGCAGGGGAAGAAACGGCCACCAUGCUCUGCAGCUAGGUCUCAGCAUGAGGACCAAGAACCCUGGUGUUCCUCCACUCAUCGGAGCCGUAUCAUUUUGGUGCAUUGGCCAGGAAAGGAAAUUCAAUCAUGAGACUGAAAAUGGCCCAAGACUCUGGAUAUGGUGGCGACUCAACUGAAAUGGUAAAAUAAAUGACAUUAACAUUUAAAAAGGAGAACUCAGAUGAAAGCAUACACAGAUGUGCAUGCAUACACAUAACCAAACACACACACACACACACACACACACACACACACACACACCCCAAACCAAACCAAAAAGGUUGACCCUCAAUCUAACCUGGCUGUAAUAAGGCAGCCAAAUAUGUAUUUGUUGGUGCCUAUUAUUACGUUUCUCGUAUAAUUACUUAACACAAAAUUUAAGUUACAACCUCUUUCUCCUUUGAAACCAGGUGGGAAACAUAUAACUUGCAAAUAUCAAGAAUUACAUAAUGUAAUUUAAUCAAAUAUGGAAUUUAUAAUAUAGCAAAAAUGGUACUAAAUACUUCAGAAACUUUCUAAGAGGCAGAUCAUAGUAUAAUACCUUUACAAAUAUAUCCAUUCAAUUGAGUAAUAUGCAGUAAUUGAAAAUGACAGCUACAUCAUCAGUAAGAGACUAGUUAUUAAUAGAAUAAGGGAUAACAGAAUAUUGAUAACUGAUAGGUAGGUCUAGUUUAAGGACUAGUGGCAGGACACAUUAAGUGAAAAAAAAAGCAGGUGUAUAAAAAAAUGUAGAGCAAGAUCCUAGCUGUGUAAAGAUAUGCUAUUUGUGUUACAGACAGACACAGACACACACACACACACACACACACACAAAAUCUAAGGGGAGAAGGUCCUGGUCAUGACUGAGGGGAGAGGGACACUUAAUAUUUGCUUCCUUGUACUCCUUGAAUUUACAAAUUACUUUUUUUACUUUUAUUCAAAUACAAAAUCACAGUUUACCUAAGAAAAUGUUUAGGAGUAAUGUUAAAUGAAAAAAGAGUAUCAUAACAAGCAUGAAAACACAUCAGAAGUGGAAAAAGAUUACCAAAAUGCUAAUAAUGAUAUUAUAAGUUUUCUGGUUUCUAAUUUUCAGUAAAUUUGCUAUAUUACUUUUGUUGCUAUUUAGUACUAGUAAGUAGUUAUAUUCCACUCCAGUAGGUGUAGCAAAAUAAAAAGUAAUAAAAAAGAAAAAUAGAAAAUAGUUAUAUUACUUUUAUGAAAGAAAAAAAUUUAUAAACCAACUUUCUCAAGCUAGGAUUUGUUAUUCCCCUCCCCAGAAGAAAAUGAGAAUGUGGAUGGACUAUACAAGUAGGUGUGUAUAUACACAAAAAAGAGAUGAGAUGAUACCAGAAGUUGAGUUCAACUUCUAUGCAAUCAGUAUCAGUCUAUGACAGAUUGUACAUACAACUGAAAAGUACUAAAGUUAUAAUUAACAAACUUAAAGUGACAAGGCUGAAUAGUGAUCAUGAAUAAAUUGCUACUAUAAAAGCACUUUUUUUUUUUUUGAGAUGGAGUUUCGCUUUUGUUGCCCAGGCUGGAGUGCAAUGG